Molecule: ribosomal RNA, 253 nt
Filed under: uncultured bacterium
Lineage: Bacteria
Description: partial 16S ribosomal RNA
Rfam family: Bacterial small subunit ribosomal RNA
Source: RNAcentral
UACGGAGGGUGCAAACGUUGCUCGGAAUCAUUGGGCGUAAAGCGUGUGUAGGCGGUCUGUUAAGUCGGGUGUGAAAGCCCUGGGCUCAACCCAGGAAGUGCAUUCGAAACUAGCAGACUUGAGUACGGGAGAGGGUCGCGGAAUUCCCGGUGUAGAGGUGAAAUUCGUAGAUAUCGGGAGGAACACCUAUGGCGAAGGCAGCUCGCUGGGACGUUACUGACGCUGAGACGCGAAAGCGUGGGGAGCAAACAGG